GAGAAUGUGAUCCUGGUUCAGGGUGAACGCUAGCGGCGUGCUUAAGGUAUGCAAGUCGAGCGGUGUUUGUAGCAAUACAGGCACAGCGGCGAACGGCUGAGUAACGCGUUGGAAUCUACACCUUACUUGAGGAUAGCCCCGGGAAACUGGGAGUAAUACUCAAUGUGGUCGCAAGACCAAAGACGCAAGUCGGUAAGGGAUGAGCCUGCGUCCUAUCAGGUAGUUGGCGGGGUAAAUGCCCACCAAGCCUAUGACGGGUAGCUGGUCUGAGAGGAUGACCAGCCAGAGGGGCACUGAGACACGGGCCUCACUCCUACGGGAGGCAGCAAUCGGGAAUCUUGCACAAUGGGCGAAAGCCUGAUGCAGCGACGCCGCGUGAAGGAUGAAGGCCUUCGGGUUGUAAACUUACAUUAAGAAGCACCGGCUAACUACGUGCCAGCAGCAGCGGUCAUACGUAGGGUGCAAGCGUUACCCGGAUUUAUUGGGCGUAAAGAGUUCUGUAGGCGGUCGUGUAAGUCAGAGGUUAAAUAUCCCGGCUUAACUGGGAAGCAGCUUUUGAUACUGCGCGACUAGAGAUGGUUAGGGGGCAGCGGAACGUACGGUGGAGCGGUGAAAUGCGUUGAUAUCGUACGGAACACCGAGGGGGAAGCCAGCUGCCUGGGACUUAUCUGACGCUGAGAGACGAAAGCGUGGGGAGCGAAACGGAUUAGAUACCCGUGUAGUCCACGCCGUAAACUAUGUCUGCUAGAUGCCUGCGCAAGUGGGUGUCGAAGCCAACGCGUUAAGCAGACCGCCUGGGGAGUACGGUCGCAAGAUUAAAACUCAAAGGAAUUGGCGGGGACCCGCACAAGCGGUGGAGCAUGCUCUUUAAUUGGCUGAUAACCCAAGAACCUUACCAGGGCUUGAAAUGUAUGUGGUAGGAACGCGAAAGCGCGACGACCGGCUUAAACUCCGGAGCAUACACAGGUGUUGCAUGGCUGUCGUCAGCUCGUACCGUGAGGCGUACCCUUAAGUGGGUUAACGAGCGCAACCCUUAUUGUUAGUUGUAUCACUCUAACAAAACUGCCAUCGUAAGAUGGAGGAAGGUGGGGACGACGUCAAGUCGGUAUUGCCCUUACGUCCUGGGCUAGAAGCAUGCUACAAUGGCCGGUACAGCGAGUUGCAACACAGCGAUGUGAAGCUAAUCUCUAAAAGCCGGUCCCAGUUCGGAUUGAAGUCUGCAAUUCGACUUCAUGAAGUUGGAAUCGCUAGUAAUCGUGGGUCAGACACACCACGGUGAAUACGUUCUCGGGUCUUGCACACACUGCCCGUCACGCCAGCAAAGCUGGGGCCACCUGAAGUCUCAUGUAAAUGGGCCCAAGGUGGAAUCAGUGAUGAGGGUGAAGUCGUAACAAGGUAGCCGUAGGGGAAUCUGCGGCUGGAUCACCUCCUUUCUAG
Molecule: ribosomal RNA, 1437 nt
Filed under: candidate division WWE3 bacterium
Lineage: Bacteria; candidate division WWE3
Description: bacterial SSU rRNA
Rfam family: Bacterial small subunit ribosomal RNA
Source: RNAcentral